This is a long non-coding RNA of Hyaena hyaena (striped hyena), 1934 nucleotides long. RefSeq lists it as uncharacterized. The transcript is spliced from 2 exons. Lineage: Eukaryota; Metazoa; Chordata; Mammalia; Carnivora; Hyaenidae. The record is from RefSeq and is a predicted model, not a curated record.
GGGACCACGCGAGAAUACUGUGUGGCUGGCAGGCAGCCCAGGAAAAGAAGGGCCCAGCCAGCAGCUCGGCCGGGCCGGGCGCCACGGGGAAGAGUUUGAGUUUCACUCAACAGGCAGAGGGGAGCAGUUCUCAUAGUGCCUCAAGGAACUUGGGCAACAUUAUCAGACGCCUGUUUUGGGGGGAUUUGAAGGAUCCACUCGCUGCACCCCAACACCUGCUUCCCUGUGCGUCAGUCCCAUCCCAGGAUGAGGCCUGACCAGGGACCCUCCCGUGCUCAGGCUGACGGCUACCCACAUGUUUCAACUUUCAUCACAAUUGAUAUUCUUCCAUGUGGAGGCAACAAAGAAAAUAUAUAGUUCCCGAUACAUUGAUUUUCUCCAGAAAUUUAUUGAUGAUAUAAAAGGAAGUUAAGCAAAACAUGUCACCUUUACAGUUAUUUUAAAUAUCUUUGUGAAAUCGUCCUCUUAAAAAAGAUGGGAACGUUUGAGGGCUGAGGCAUUCCGUGAGGUGCGGGGUCUCAGUUCCCAUGCUGGGUGACACAGAAGCCAUCACAGGACACCUGUCCUCUGGAGGUAGUCAUUUUCCACGUAGAGCAAAACCUGGAAAUGCCAGAGGAUUAAGGGUCUUCUGAUUUUCUGACCUGGAAGGGCUGAUCAGACUCAUUUACAGCGACUUGAGUUGGAUACGCUGACGUGUAAACAGCUGUUGCCUAAUCAAAACCACUGGAUCCCAAGAGGCAAACAGAGAAAACUACUGUUUUGGUGCUUGUGGGAACCCAUCACAUGAUUUGAAUUCGUUGCUCUGAUUGUACAGUCAGCUGUGAAAGCCCCUGACGUGGACACGCAGGUGGGCGUGUGGGGGGAGGGACGUGGGCACAGAACAACCACAUUCUUGUUUCGGCACGACGUCGCUUUGCGGGUUUCUCCCCCAGACUAGCUCAUGUGGACAAAUGAUGUCCCCAAUGUGCAAAACCUGAGUUUGCAAAGACCCGGAAACUAACAAAAAUGAGUGGCUGGAGGAGAAAGAAAGCCUAAAUCAAUUCAACAAAGUGAAGAGGUGACAAAAAAGGACCAGUGAUGUGAAAAAUGUGAAUUUUUCAAUGUGAACAUGAAUUUCAGUGUCAACGUGAGAAAUAAUGACAUGGGAGAGAAAUGUGGGGUCUCAGCCCCUCCCCCCCCCGCCUUGGUCACACCAUGUCCUUUCUGAGCAUGACCUGUGCUCUGGACACAGGAGGCUGAAAUGCAGCCAACUGUACCCUGCCUUGUCUCUGCCUCUGAACGGCACCGACUUUUUUGUUUAUGAUGGAAAUCAGUAUGUGAAAAGAAAUCAACCUGCCAAUAUGUUCUUGUUUUUCUCCACCAGCAAGGAGCUCUGCUGAUUUUGAAAAGCCAAAAGGAACACGGGCUGCCUCUUAUAAGUAAGUCCCCCCAGGAAGUCUCACCUCUGGAAGUCAUGCUUUCUUGAGGGACAGUCCAAGCUACUUGGCUUGUCUGACCUUGCAGGGGCUUGAAAGCAAGCCCGUGGGAUGGGGUGCCCUUCUUGAGGUGCCUUGGAAGCCACGCUGCGGAGAGCGGGUCGGGCAGGCUCACGGGGUGGGGAGGAAAGUAAACCCCAGCACACUAGGGAGGUCCUUCUGCAAAAAGGGGCUGCCUGCCCGCAGAGACCAGGCACCUUCCUAGACUCUUUCACCGAGCGCCGUGACUGCCGCCUGGCUUACCUAUGCAAGUCUGCCAGUCCACAAUUACCCAGUCCCCCGGGAGUUUGGGGGGCAGAAGCAUGACAGGGUACUCUAAUUCUCACAAGCAUUUUAUUGUACUUUUUAAAAUGUAGCCUUCAUCUGUCUUCUGCCUAUGAUUCCCUCUCAUCCUGUGCCCCGUUCCACCCUGGCCUUCUCAUCUUGAAGGAAGGAAAAAUAAAUUUACAUCAAUCUUAG